AAGACUUUGGGUAUGCUCACAACAUUCAAGGGCUUAAAUGAUUAGUUAUGCCUAGCAUGGAUAUGGGAGGGGGAAUUGGAUGAUCAGUUAUGUCUGACAGCAGCAUGAAAAGGGAGAAUGGCAACACGCUUACUGCACUGCAUUUACUGUUUCUGAGCUGGAUAGCUUUGAAGAGAUCUUUGAAGGCUAACUUUAUGCAGUUCUGCAAAAAUCAACUUCUCCAUAUUUUUCAAAAGAGCUUGCCACAGAGACAGAGCUGGGAGACUGCUGGACCACCAUAAACCAAUUGAAAGAUCAUCUCUUGAAAUUCAAUCCUAAAUGCCAUUGCUGGAACUCAGUAGCUUCUCAAUAAAAGAUACACACUGAAUAAA
Molecule: long non-coding RNA, 371 nt
Organism: Homo sapiens (human)
Lineage: Eukaryota; Metazoa; Chordata; Mammalia; Primates; Hominidae
Source: Ensembl